RNAcentral lists this ribosomal RNA (460 nucleotides) under uncultured bacterium. Its description in RNAcentral is "partial 16S ribosomal RNA". It matches the Rfam family "Bacterial small subunit ribosomal RNA", at positions 338 to 795 of the family's 1533-position model. The record is from RNAcentral.
CCUACGGGAGGCAGCAGUGAGGAAUAUUGGUCAAUGGACGCAAGUCUGAACCAGCCAUGCCGCGUGCAGGAAGACGGCUCUAUGAGUUGUAAACUGCUUUUGUACGAGGGUAAACGCAGAUACGCGUAUCUGUCUGAAAGGAUCGUACGAAUAAGGAUCGGCUAACUCCGUGCCAGCAGCCGCGGUAAUACGGAGGAUUCAAGCGUUAUCCGGAUUUAAUGGGUUUAAAGGGUGCGUAGGCGGUCGGAUAAGUUAGAGGUGAAAUCCCGAGGCUCAACUUCGGAAUUGCCUCUGAUACUGUUCGGCUAGAGAGUAGUUGCGGGAGGCGGAAUGUAGGGUGUAGCGGUGAAAUGCUUAGAGAUCAUACAGAACACCGAUUGCGAAGGCAGCUUACCAAGCUACGUCUGACGUUGAGGCACGAAAGCGUGGGGAGCAAACAGGAUUAGAUACCCGGGUAGUC